RNAcentral lists this long non-coding RNA (590 nucleotides) under Coffea arabica (coffee). RNAcentral describes it as "long non-coding RNA (CARA_LNC002171)". The record is from RNAcentral. Lineage: Eukaryota; Viridiplantae; Streptophyta; Magnoliopsida; Gentianales; Rubiaceae.
UCCACCCUUUCCAAUUUGAUCUUCUCAACCACACUUUUACAAUCGGAUUGUAUAAUUAUGUCCCUCCACCCACUCUUCAUGGCUAUGGACAUACCAUUCCUAAUAGCUCGAGCUUCCUCCACCGCAGGAUCCCCACACCUUUGUUCACUCCCUGCCCAGGCUCUUAGUAGCUUACCCCUGCUACAUCUGGCUACCACACCCCAACCAAUUUUGCCAUCCUUAUGACUCAACGCGGCAUCAGUGUUCAGACAAAUGAAGUGUUGGGGUGGCGGUGACCACUUCCUAGCUCCAUAGACUUCCUCCUGUCCAUCAUACUCCUACCCAUCCACUUUAUUGAAUACCUCAGCAUAUUCCCGCGACUCCUGCAUAGCUUUACCCACCACAAUUCUAGGACAUUUCCGAUCAUUAUUAAACUGAAUUUGAUUUCUGGAUUUUCAAAUCUGCCACAGUAUAUUAACCAUCAGUUCAAUAUGGGUCCUACCCUCCGUUCUUGCCUUAGCCACCAAAGUAGUCCACCAAUGCCAAAAAUUAUUCCUAUAAAUGUUGAGACCGUCCCAACAGAUGGGAGCUGCCUUCCAGAUUUGCUCUGC